AGUGAACGCUGGCGGUAGGCCUAACACAUGCAAGUCGAACGGCAGCACAGUAAGAGCUUGCUCUUACGGGUGGCGAGUGGCGGACGGGUGAGGAAUACAUCGGAAUCUACUUUUUCGUGGGGGAUAACGUAGGGAAACUUACGCUAAUACCGCAUACGACCUACGGGUGAAAGCAGGGGAUCUUCGGACCUUGCGCGAUUGAAUGAGCCGAUGUCGGAUUAGCUAGUUGGCGGGGUAAAGGCCCACCAAGGCGACGAUCCGUAGCUGGUCUGAGAGGAUGAUCAGCCACACUGGAACUGAGACACGGUCCCGACUCCUACGGGAGGCAGCAGUGGGGAAUAUUGGACAAUGGGCGGAAGCCUGAUCCAGCCAUACCGCGUGGGUGAAGAAGGCCUUCGGGUUGUAAAGGCCUUUUGUUGGGAAAGAAAAGCAGCAGGUUAAUACCCCGCUGUUCUGACGGUACCCAAAGAAUAAGCACCGGCUAACUUCGUG
This 492-nucleotide ribosomal RNA is filed under the name uncultured bacterium. Its description in RNAcentral is "partial 16S ribosomal RNA". It matches the Rfam family "Bacterial small subunit ribosomal RNA", at positions 29 to 507 of the family's 1533-position model. The record is from RNAcentral.